GGGAUAUUCCCAAAUCAGGAAUAAUCCCAAAUCAGGAAUAAUCCCAAAUCAGGAAUAUUCCCAAAAUGAGGAAUAUUCCCAAUGAGGAAUAUCCCCAGUGAGGAACAUUCCCAAAUCAGGAAUAAUCCCAAAAUGAGGGAUAUUCCCAAAUCAGGAUUAUUCCCAAAUUAGGAAUAUUCCCAAUGAGGAAUAUCCCUAAUGAGGAAUAUUCCCAAAUCAGGAAUAAUCCCAAAAUGACGAACAUUCCCAAAUCAUCAAUAUUCCCAAUGAGGAACAUUCCCAAAUCAGGAAUAUUCCCAAAUCAGGAUUAUUCCCAAAAUGAGGAACAUUCCCAAAUCAGGAAUAUUCCCAAAUGAGGGAUAAUCCCAAAAUGAGGGAUAUUCCCAAAAUGAGGAUUAUUCCCAAAAUGAGGAAUAUUCCCAAAUUAGCAAUAUUCCCAAUGAGGAAUAUCCCCAAUGAGGAAGAUUCCUAAAUGAGGAAUAUUCCCAAAUGAGGGAUAAUCCCAAAAUGAGGGAUAUUCCCAAAAUGAGGCUUAUUCCUAAAUCAGGAUUAUUCCCAAAAUGAGGAUUAUUCCCAAAUCAGGAUUAUUCCCAAAUGAGGGAUAUUCCCAAAAUGAGGAUUAUUCCCAAAUUAGCAAUAUUCCCAGUGAGGAACAUUCCUCAAUCAGGAAUAUUCCCAAAUGAGGGAUAUUCCCAAAUCAGGAUUAUUCCCAAAAUGAGGGAUUAUUCCCAAAAUGAGGAUUAUUCCCAAAAUGAGGGAUAUUCCCAAAAUGAGGAUUAUUCCCAAAUGAAGAACAUCAACCCUCAACCCUCCUCUUCCUCCCCUUCUCAUUCCAAGGCACUGCCCAGGGCUGUGCUCAGCAAACAGCCANAAAAAGCAGGAAGGAAAGGAAAAGAAAGCUGCUCAAAUUCUGUACCAUGGGGCUGCUCCUGCGUCUCCCAGAGCCCUCCCAAAUCCUGCACCAGGGUCAGCAGCCCAAGCACAGCUCCAGGCUGGAUGGGGCUUGGAGCAACCUGGGACAGGGAAUGGUGUCCCUGUUUGUGGGGUCAGAGAUGUGAGGUCCCUUCCGAGCUGAAUCACCCCAAAUUAACCUGGGACAGGGAAAGGUGUCCCUGUUUGUGGGGUCAGAGAUGUGAGGUCCCUUCCGAGCUGAAUCACCUCAUAUUAAUUUGGGAUAUGGAAAGAUGUCCCUGUUUAUGGGGUCAGAGAUGUGAGGUCCUUUCUGAGCUGAAUCAUCCCAUUUUAAUUUGGGAUAUGGAAAGGUGUCCCUGUUUGUGGGGUCAGAGAUGUGAGGUCCUUUCUGAGCUGAAUCACCCCAAAUUAAUCCGGGAUAUGGAAAGGUGUCCCUGUUUGUGGGGUCAGAGAUGUGAGGUCCUUUCCAAGCUGAAUCACCCCAUAACAACCUGGAGCAAGGAAAGAUGUCCCUGUUUGUAGGGUCAGAGGAGAUGUGAGGUCCUUUCUGAGCUGAAUCACCCCAAAUUAACCUGGGACAGGGAAAGGUGUCCCUGUUUAUGGGGUCACAGGGGCUGUGAGGUCCUUUCUGAGCUGAAUCACCCCAUCUUUGCUGUCACCAGUGAGUCAGAAGGGGAAGCCCUGUGCUGUUCUCAGAUGUGUCAGGGUAUAACCUGGCAGCCAGACCCAGCUGGGCUGGAACUCACCAAAAGCAGGAAGAAAGCACAAAAAGAAAAGUCCCAGGAAGCAGCAGAGCAGGGCCCAGCCCAGCUCUGUGCCUCUCUGGAGUUUUCACCUCUAAUCCAUCCCCUCUCAGCUCAGGAAUAAGAAGAUUUAAACAGCUGUGCUCAGUUUGGGGUCCUCGGGGUGAUUUCCUGGGUGAACCCUUGGCAGCUCCUGCUCCUUGCAGGUUAUUCAUUCACACAAAGAACCCAAAUCCUGCUCAGCCCCAUUCCCAGCCUCCUUCUCCCAGAGCUUCCCAAGAGCUGCUGACCCCUCAGCAACGAGGCCAGGCUGUUCCAUUAAUGUCAAACCAGUGCUGCUGAUGGUUUUACUGGGAUAAACUGAGCCUGGAACUUCAGAUUAUCCAUUUUACAGCUCCUGGNCUC
RNAcentral lists this long non-coding RNA (2060 nucleotides) under Zonotrichia albicollis (white-throated sparrow). Its description in RNAcentral is "lncRNA (ENSZALG00000011718.1)". Lineage: Eukaryota; Metazoa; Chordata; Aves; Passeriformes; Passerellidae. The record is from RNAcentral.